Molecule: long non-coding RNA, 4826 nt
Organism: Ailuropoda melanoleuca (giant panda)
Lineage: Eukaryota; Metazoa; Chordata; Mammalia; Carnivora; Ursidae
Source: Ensembl
AUUCAAGCCACUAUUGCCUUUUCUCUAAGUUAUUGUGUUGGCCACUGACUUAGCCUGCCAGUCUCCAGUCUUGCCUUCUUCCACUUUAUUUUCCACAUUAUGUGUGAUGCUUCUAAAACACAAAUGCACCAUGCUAUUUUACUUACAGCCCUUCUAUGACUUCCCAUUACUUUAAGAUAAAUUCCAAACUCUACCACAUGGUUUACAAUACCUUUUCUAAUGUAGUCUCUAUUUUCCCAGUCUUAUCUUAAGCACUUUUCUUUUUAUCUAAUCUUUAACUUUAUUGAAUUAUUUUCAAUUACUCAAAGACAAGUUCUCUCUCACCUCCAAGCAUUUGCAUUGGGAUUCUCCCUGCCUGGAAUACUUUCUUCCACAUUUUCUAUCCGGCCAACUCCUAACCAUUCUUCACAUUUCAGCAAGAAGUCUUUCCUGAAACCCCAGACUGGGUGGAGUCCCCACUCUGUGCUUCUAGAACAUUUAUGGCAUGCAUUUAAAGUGGUCUGUUUGCCUGGCUGCGUCUCUCCUUAAGCUCCAUGAGGAGAAUCUGUUUCAUUCACUUCUCUAUCCACUGUGCCUGGGCCUGAAACAUGGCAGAUACUUAGUAAAUAUUGAAUAAAUGAGAGAAAAGCAGCACCAGGAUGAAAAUGGAAGCAUAUUUACCUGGCAUCACAAGCCUAGAUUGUACUACUGAGCAAGAGUAAUCUUCACAGUCACAUUUGCAUUCCUGCUGCGUUCCAGGCACCAUUCAAAGCAAUUUCCAUACAUGUGCUUUUCCCAGCAACCCAAAGUAGAUGAGGAUUUUGAUGCCUAGAUAAAUAAGGCAACUUGCCAAAGGUAAACACUCACUCAUUUGAAGCUUUGGCCUUGAAGAUUUCAAAGGAAGGAGCUGAGAUGUAAGUAAGCAGAAGAUGCUUUUUCCUCGAUUUAUGUCGUCUGGAGUUCUGGAGUGGAGCUGUUGCCCUGGGUUGGUGCGCUGAAGACCACCAUUGCAAUCACAGCUGGUGCCCUGCACAGAGAGGACCGGAACAACCCCAGUCGGACCUUUCCUGCAAAUGCAGUGCCACUGGUAUCCAGAGGUUUAAACCUGACUCUUCUAGAGAGGAGGCUAGAGAACUCAGGGUGAGUAGUUUGCUGCCAUCCCCGUAUGAAGCAAAGCUCUGUGUGGUUCUACUGACUCUGCUUCCUGUGAAAGGGUGGUUACUUUCCUAUCCUGUGCCGAGUGCCAUUUUAUAUCCUCCUUGUAAUCAAUUAUUGGUUACUAAGUUCCCAUUUGUCUAGGCCAAAAAAAGAGUAUUUAUUCCUGUUAUUUAAUCUCUACUUGGAACUUGGCCCCAAACUCUGGAAAUUAAGGUGCCUCACAUUUGCUCUUAGAACUUGCUGCCUGCUGUUGAUCUCCUGCCUUGCCCUUGCUUGGUAGGCACUCUGCUUUUGAAACUUGGACACCCCGUAUACAAGCUGCCUUCGUCUAUUCGCUUAUUCAGUCAUUUUUCCAAAACUCAACAAAGACUGAUCUCCCAAAUUAGAACCACUUUUGAACUAACGUGGUUUUUUUUUCCUAUUGGUGUAUUCUGGAUCUAAUGCUCUGACAUCUGGCGUAGGUUCCCAGCUCUACUCUGACCACAUUCUGAUCCUGACUAUCACUAGACCAAGUCUGUUUUUGAGCAUGGUAUGCAUAUGGGCUAGACAUUAAAACAUUGGAAAAGUCAGGAAUGUUUAAAAUAACUGCUCAUCAUACAAGUGUAACUUGAUUAUCGAAGAUCCUUACGUUCUAUUUUCAAUAAAAGGUUUUUAGUGAUUCUUCAGCAAUGUUAGAAGCAGAGUUGAAUUUCUUACAUUAUGAGGAAAUAGGCUAUAAUUCAAUUAUUAGGAAAUAUUAGUAUUUUAUUUCAAGCGUUCUUAUUUCAGUGUUGUCUUUAAAUUUCAGUUGUUUGAAAUGACUUCAAAUCUUAUUAGGGUAAUCUUGAUCGUGUCGCUGAUUUCCAAACCUGUAAGUGCAAUGAAUCAGCGGUUCCACUUGGAAAGAGAACCGUUUUCGGUUGAAUGAGAAUGACGUCACACUCACACCUGCAAAAUCUGAAAUGUCUAAUAAAGUAGAUUCCUAUGUCUGAACUUCAAUUUUAGGGCACAGCUGUAGAUGCAGGACUGAUGCCAUCUGGUGCAGUUCCACAGAAAAAGAGAUAAAAUUUACCCAGAGUGUGCCAUGCACUGGCUUUUCUGGGAAUGACAAGGUGCCAGGAUUUGUUUUUGGUUCAUUUGCAGGGGUGGAAACUUGGAACGAGGUGAGUAAAGUACACGCACUGUCCCCAUUUAUAGCUUGACAUUUUAUAUUUCCAAUUCUGUUUAUAGUUUUAAAAUAAGUGCAAAAGAGUUAAUUUUUUUAAAUGGCCCAGCAUUUAAACAUUGUAAAUAGUUCAACCAUUUAGGAUAGUGGGAAAUGUUUACUUUUUCUAACUCAUACUUACUAAUAGGGACUUUUAGAAUGCUAAUGGUACUAAUGCAGUACAUAGAAAAUAUGUACAGAGUACUGUACUUUGGUUUUAGUUUUUAUAGCUACUCUGAGGUAGGUGUACUUAUUUAAGCUAAAACUACAAUUAAAAUUCUAGUAUCAUCAGGAAAUCACUGUCAGGUGUCUGUGUCACAUACAAGAGAAAGCUAAAAAUUGAGCUGCAGAUCUUUGAAGUUAAUUUUGGGGGGUGGGGUUGAAUCAGUGAAAUCACUUCUCAACUCUACAUUUCUUACUUUGUCCACACAAAAUAAGAUUAUACAUUAAAAAAUGACCUGAUUAAUUAUCUGAGUAGUAGCACCUUACUCCAUAGGAAUGUGGGCAAUCAGGGCAGACCCGUGCUUAGAACAAGUCAGAACAUAAUAGGCACUCAGGAAAAGAUCCUGAUCAAUUAAGUUAAAAAUCCUCUUGUUUUCCUUAAUAGCAGCCAUUUUAUGUAGUAAGCCUAAUCAUUUCUUCCACUGUUGUGCUGUGUAGACGUGGGUAGUUUGAAGUUAAAAUUUUUAUACUUUUGUUUUAUUAGUGUGACACUAUGAAGUUACUUGAACUUCAUUGAAUAUAUAUGAUUCUUCAGGCAAGUUUUUUACAUUAAGACGGAAAUCUUGCUUUCCUAUUGGGAAUCAAGAUGGAUUCCUAUCUCAGUAAUAGAGUAGGAAGUUAUCGAACCAAACAGUAGCUUAAACAAAGUAGGGGUUUUGUUUCGUUCUCAGGUGACAAGGAGGUUAGGGGUAAACUAUUGCUGGUGUUGGUUCAGCAGCUCACAGAUGUCAGGGUCAAGGUAGCCCCUGAGGUUCCCUUGGCUUUUCCCUUAGGUUCCAAGAUGGUUGCUGCAGCUCCCCCAGGAAGAUGAAGGAAGCUGAAAGGGAAAACAGGGCACGCCAUUUUGAUUCUGCUUCCUUUUAAAGAGCUUUCUCAGAAGCCUGCAACUUUUACUUACAUCUCAUUGUCCAGACUGUGUCAUAUCUACGAGGCUGCGUGAGAAAUGUAGUUUUUGUAGCUGGACAUAUGACUGCCUUCAACAAAAAAGUCUAAGGAAAUCUAAGGAAAAAAGACGAUGGUGAAUCUUUGGGAAACAAACCAGCAGUCUGUGCCCUGGCUACAAAAUACAAUUGUAAAGGAGCAUAAUGAUUGAAACAGAUCAAAUCUGUAAUUCCUUCACAACUGACAGUACUCCAGGCAACACUGCUCUGCCCAGAGAGUGAGCAGAGUGAAGACAUCCUAGGUUUUUUCUUGAAACACCUGCCAAAACAGGCUUUCGCAGGCAGCUGAUAUGCUUGCCCCACAUCAGGAUUUUCUAGAGGAGGACCCUGGGAACCUGUAUACUUCCUUGGAGGACAUAAUCUAUGGAAGUUUGGAAUGGGAUAAAGAAGGCUCUACCUUGCUGCUUUCCCAUCUGCUUUAUGUAUCUCUAAUUUUCCUUACAGAUUUUUGGUGGAGUCUAGUUUGUGUUUGAUCCCUAGAAAAGGAUCAUCCCUUUCAUACAUAGGAAAAGGUAAUCUAUGUAAAGAAAGGCUACUUACUGCCUUCUCUGACUCCACCACCAAUCUAGGAAUAUCCUGAGAGAAGACUUGCUUCUCAAAGCUGCUUCCAUAAUCAGCCUACAUCCUGCCUAAGCAAAGGAAGAAGAAACACUUCCCACUCCAGGGCUGUCCAAAAGAACUUUCUGUGAUGACAGAAAUGUUCUAUAUUUGCACUGUCCAAUAUGGUAGCCACUAGCCAUGUGUGACUAGUGAACACUUGAAAUAUGGCUAGUGUGACUGAGGAAGUAAAUUUUAAUUUUAUUUAAUUUUAAAUAAUUAAAAUGUAAAUAGCCAUAUGUGGCUAGUGGCUCUUGUGUUGUACAACACAGUACACAACUUUUUCUUGUGUUUUCCAACUACCUGAGAGGGGUUUGAGCCAGUCAUGUGCUCGGUGUUCCAUCAUCUUCACUAUUCCACCUUGCCAUUGAACUUGUGUCCCAGAGAAAAUGAAAAAUGGUAUCUCGGAACUAAAUGCAAGAUGUUAACUCGACAUCUAUACAUUGUACUGAUUUCUGUAUAAAUGGAAUGAUCUCCUGGGAAUAGGUCCUGUGAUUGAUUUUUGCGAUAAUUGAUGGUGGACAAAUGGUGGUGGUGCUGGUCCACUUACCAUUCCUAGCGAACGUUAUGUGUUCCUGGUCAGAGUGAGUCAGCAGGAAUCAUUUUGUUCUGUUGUGCAAUUCAUUCUGGUUUAUUUUUGUAAUAUUGUGGCUGCUAAGUGAUUAUUCCAUGUGUGUUUUUCAAAAUACUUAGUGGUUUAUAUUUUUUAAAAGGCUGUGAAAUAAAAAAAAAUUAUAUGUAACUCA